GCAGCAAAGUGAGUUUUAGGCAAAGAGAUACCACAUUUAAACUUCAGGAUCUGAUUCUUCUGUUCAUUUUCCUUCCCUUUUGCCACUGGAAAUUUCUCUGGCAAGAAGAAAAAUACCUGUCCGAUAUCAGUGCUCAUCUUUGCUGACUAAGGCAGGUCAGCUGCAGGAUCAUCCCACCCCUUGGACUGCAGGGAUGGAGGAGAAGAGAUGGGUCCUGUUGGCUCUGGCACUUCUUCUGGCUAUCCCUUUCUCAGGUGCAUCUCAGUGGGUUCCUGCCUCCUGGAUACAGCUCCCUUUAUUCCUUCUCACACUGGCUGCUGGUGCUGUUCUAGUAUUUCAAGGAAGGAGAGUGGACUCCCUGGAAACUGUUUGGCUGAAGAAUCACCAGCACCUCUACCAAAAAAUUCAGACUCUCCAGGAAGCUUUCCAAAAUGAGCAGGAGUCCACACGGUGUGAUAUUCAGCUCCUCAAAACAGACCUGGAGAAUAUAUUAGGAUUGAGAGUAGAGGCAAAUACUACAAAAGCUUUGGAAUCCAUGUGGAAGAAGGAUGUCCAUGAAGUGUCCCAACAAGUUCAAACUCUGCAGAAAGCUUUUCAAAACACCCACCUGUACACACUGCGAGACCUUCAGAUAAUGAGAACAGACCUGAAAGAUGAACUAGGAAGGACAGUGGAGGCAAAUGUCACAGGGAAUAUAGCAUUCUUGUGGCAGAAGGACCUCCUGCAUCUCUCCCAACAAAUUCAAACUCUGAAGCAAACUUUUCAGAACAUGAAGCUUGCUGUACAGCGUGACCUUCAAAUGAUCAGAAGAGAGCUGGAGAACAAACUAGGAGAGACAAUGGAGGCAAAAACAAGCACCUUAGAAGCCAGGCUGGAGAAAGACCACCAUGAAGCCUCCCAACAAAUUCAAACUCUGCAGGAAAAUUUCCAGAAGAGAUAUGAGGCCACACAGCGUGACCUUCAGAGGAUCAGAACAGAGUUGGAGCAU
RNAcentral lists this long non-coding RNA (988 nucleotides) under Junco hyemalis (dark-eyed junco). RNAcentral's name for it is "lncRNA (ENSJHYG00000002006.1)". The record is from RNAcentral. Lineage: Eukaryota; Metazoa; Chordata; Aves; Passeriformes; Passerellidae.